GUGGAUGCCCUGGCAGUCAGAGGCGAUGAAGGACGUGCUAAUCUGCGAUAAGCGUCGGUAAGGUGAUAUGAACCGUUAUAACCGGCGAUUUCCGAAUGGGGAAACCCAGUGUGUUUCGACACACUAUCAUUAACUGAAUCCAUAGGUUAAUGAGGCGAACCGGGGGAACUGAAACAUCUAAGUACCCCGAGGAAAAGAAAUCAACCGAGAUUCCCCCAGUAGCGGCGAGCGAACGGGGAGCAGCCCAGAGCCUGAAUCAGUGUGUGUGUUAGUGGAAGCGUCUGGAAAGGCGCGCGAUACAGGGUGACAGCCCCGUACACAAAAAUGCACAUGCUGUGAGCUCGAUGAGUAGGGCGGGACACGUGGUAUCCUGUCUGAAUAUGGGGGGACCAUCCUCCAAGGCUAAAUACUCCUGACUGACCGAUAGUGAACCAGUACCGUGAGGGAAAGGCGAAAAGAACCCCGGCGAGGGGAGUGAAAAAGAACCUGAAACCGUGUACGUACAAGCAGUGGGAGCACGCUUAGGCGUGUGACUGCGUACCUUUUGUA
This 549-nucleotide ribosomal RNA is filed under the name Escherichia coli. RNAcentral describes it as "partial 23S ribosomal RNA". It matches the Rfam family "Bacterial large subunit ribosomal RNA", at positions 24 to 612 of the family's 2925-position model. Lineage: Bacteria; Pseudomonadati; Pseudomonadota; Gammaproteobacteria; Enterobacterales; Enterobacteriaceae. The record is from RNAcentral.